This 924-nucleotide ribosomal RNA is filed under the name Staphylococcus sp. UA-AR0117. RNAcentral's name for it is "bacterial SSU rRNA". It matches the Rfam family "Bacterial small subunit ribosomal RNA", at positions 55 to 961 of the family's 1533-position model. Lineage: Bacteria; Bacillati; Bacillota; Bacilli; Caryophanales; Staphylococcaceae. The record is from RNAcentral.
AUGCAAGUCGAGCGAAAGAUAAGGAGCUUGCUCCUUUGACGUUAGCGGCGGAUGGGUGAGUAACACGUGGGUAACCUACCUAUGGGACUGGAAUAACUCCGGGAAACCGGGGCUAAUGCCGGAUAACAUUUAGAACCGCAGGGUUCUAAAGUGAAAGAUGGUUUUGCUAUCACUUAUAGAUGGACCCGCGCCGUAUUAGCUAGUUGGUAAGGUAACGGCUUACCAAGGCAACGAUACGUAGCCGACCUGAGAGGGUGAUCGGCCACACUGGAACUGAUACACGGUCCAGACUCCUACGGGAGGCAGCAGUAGGGAAUCUUCCGCAAUGGGCGAAAGCCUGACGGAGCAACGCCGCGUGAGUGAUGAAGGUCUUCGGAUCGUAAAACUCUGUUAUUAGGGAAGAACAAAUGUGUAAGUAACUAUGCACGUCUUGACGGUACCUAAUCAAAAAGCCACGGCUAACUACUUGCCACCAGCCGCGGUAAUACGUAGGUGGCAAGCGUUAUCCGGAAUUAUUGGGCGUAAAGCGCGCGUAGGCGGUUUCUUAAGUCUGAUGUGAAAGCCCACGGCUCAACCGUGGAGGGUCAUUGGAAACUGGGAAACUUGAGUGCAGAAAAGGAAAGUGGAAUUCCAUGUGUAGCGGUGAAAUGCGCAAAGAUAUGGAGGAACACCAGUGGCGAUGGCGACUUUCUGGUCUGUAACUGACGCUGAUGUGCGAAAGCGUGGGGAUCAAACAGGAUUAGAUACCCUGGUAGUCCACGCCGUAAACGAUGAGUGCUAAGUGUUAGGGGGUUUCCGCCCCCUUAUUGCUGCGCUAACGCAUUAAGCACUCCGCCCUGGGGAGUACGACCGCAAGGUUGAAACUCAAGGAAUUGACGGGGACCCGCACAAGCGGUGGAGCAUGUGGUUUAACUCUAAGCAACC